Long non-coding RNA from Centruroides sculpturatus (bark scorpion), 955 nucleotides. RefSeq lists it as uncharacterized. The record is from RefSeq and is a predicted model, not a curated record. NCBI's taxonomy places the organism in Eukaryota, Metazoa, Arthropoda, Arachnida, Scorpiones, Buthidae. The transcript has 3 exons.
AAUACAUUUCAAGAAUAUUGCUUAUUUAUAUCUCUGAAAACAACUAUUUUUAUUCUACUUAUCACAGUUUAAGAUAAAAUAUUAGGUUAUCCAAAGAUCCAGAUACAUCAAAAUGAAGACUUUAUUCCUUGUAUGUCUACUGCUUUCAGUUAUGUUUUUAGUCCAGACUAAAAAUGGAACACCACUAAAAUUACUUUUGAAUGAUUUUGAAGACUGCGAUGCAGAAUGUAAAAAAUUAGGAGCAAAAGCAGGAGUUUCCAACGGAAGAUGCAAGUGUUUUGACCUUCCACGCAAUGUCAAAACAAUAGAUGAAAUUUCUGAUAUCGAUUAAUUAAUUAGAUUACUGUAAUAUAAUUUAAAACUGUAAUAACAAAUGUUAAAAAAAUAAAAUUAAAAGACACAUUUUUAUGGUGUUUUUUUAAUUACUGUGAUUCGCCUCUAGUUGGAUAUGUGUACCAAGAAUCAAGGUUAAUCCUAAACCGGAUUUCACAUAAUUUGUUUCGUCAUUAAAAUACUUAUGACCACGUAAGCGUUACUUUUCAAAACACUCAAGUAACUUACGGAAUUUUGAGAAAAAUACAAAACAUCCGGUUAUUCAGCAAUGUUUUGGUUCCGUCAGGAAACAAAAACUUCGAAAUUCUUAGUUCUAUUUUGAAGGAAAACGUGGACAAUUAAUUCAAACAAUUUAUCAAAUUCAAAUAAUGCCCAUCCUCUCGCAGUUAUGGAUAAUUGUUCAUCUUUUCUCUAAAUUGACUUUAAUUAAGAAUUGUUAUUUUAUUAGAAUUAAUAGUAGAAAAAGUAUUACAAUUGCUAAAAAGAACAACAUUAACACUUAACACAAUUUACUAAUAAUACGAAACUGGCUGAAAUUGUUAAAAUGUAUUAGUUCUUUAGUAUAGUAUAUUAAUACAUAUGGCAUUUUAUCGUUUGUUGUUUAAACGUAAUUUUAUAUUUU